GAUGGGGAGCGGGUUUCGGUCCCUUGAGGCCUGUCGGGAAUAAAAACUGCGGGAUGUGCUAGCUUCCAAAUCAACCUGGGGUUUUGGGGUAUGGAAACGUGCUCGGAAUCAAUGCGGCUUGCUGUCUGAGGAGGUCGCUGUGGUGUUCAUGAAGAAUAACAUUGCUGAAGUUAUUUUGGGUGUGAAAGUGAAGUUUUGUUAGUGAAAUAACCUUCCAGAUCGGUGUAGAGCGUGGUUUGCACGAAGGAAUUGAAUCUGAGGAAGAAUCUCUUGACGCUAAAGGUGGCAGGACACUUGGAGCACAGGCUCAUGGAGGUCAUGAAAUCUCCUUCUCUAGAGGAGACUACCUGAUUCAAAACCUGGCUGGAUGCUCUCCUGUGUCAUUCGCGUUUGAUAACCCUGCCUUGGCUAGGGGGCUGGACUAGAUGAUCUCCGGAGGUCCCCUCCAGCCCUAACGAUUCUCUGAAUUCUUUGUCUGGUAAUGUGGUUUGUGCUAGUGAAUUAAAAUGCCUUAAUAAUAUUUUUGGGUUCAAAUUGACAAAGUAGUUUAAUUUCUGUAGGUUUGGGGUUUGGCGGGGGGGAUGUUUUGGUUUGAUUGGGCUUUUUUUGUUUGGGUUUUUUUUAGAAAGUAAACUUUUUUUAUUGUUUUGCAAAAAGAAGUCUCUCUUCUUUUUUUGCAAGCUUCUUUUUUUGUCUUCUUGCUGCAGUGCUGAUGAUGCAUAUGAAUGAUCUAGUUGAUGCUCCUUAAAGAUUAAUGGAGAAAUAACAGAAAUGCCAUGUUUUCAAUAGAUUCUGCUCUUCUGUAAUCAUCUAGUAGUAAUAAUAAUGAAGUGUGUGUACAUAAAUGAAUUUGAAAUAAUGUUUGCAGACCUGACAAUGUUACCUGUGUGAUAAGCAGGAUCAAAAACUAGUGCUCAAAAACCAGUCACAGAUUUGAUACUCAACUCAAGAACUUGGAAUUAGACCAGAACUGUGUCCUGUCUUUAAGACUAUUUUAGUACCUAGUGCUGGCAAACUUACGUGAUGAUAAAGAGGUAAGCUGAAAACAGAUUUAUUUACUAAAACUUACAGCAGGAAUACAGAAAUUCUUAAUGUGAAGAGGUAUAAGCUUUCCAGUCAGUUUUGAGCCUCUCUGAAUUUUUCAUCUUGUUCUACUAAUGACAUUUUAGAGAAUUGCAUUUAGAGGUCCUGUUGGGAAAGAAAAAAGGUUUUCCAACUUACUUUUUGUGCAAUGGUAAAUCGUGGUGUCAGGGUAGUUGCAACUUUCUAAUUCCUAUGACUGUGGUGCUGGUCCACUCAGAUUAUCAGAUUAUUUUGCUGAGACACAGGAGAUUGUAUCUCCUGUGUUUCCAAGUCCUCCAUCUUCAGAGUAGAGUCAACAGUUGUCCAUUCCAGAGAAGGAGGUGUCACUUCUUCCACCCCUGCCUGGUGCUCAUCAGAACCAUUGCUAAGCCAGGAUACCUCACUAACCAGCAGAAAGCCAGCCGCUGCUCUGGUGUGGUGUAAGGGUUUGUGCUUUUUUUUUUUUCAAACUAGCAUUAAUCUUCACCAGAUUAUUAAUUAGAAUGUUUCACUGACAAGUCCAGUGACUGCUAGGGUAAUCUUAAUGCAGGAGGGUAGGGAAAUUUAAUGCAGAGCACUAAAAUAUUUAAUAGCCACAAUAGUGAGCUGAUUCUAUAGGUUUUCACUAAAAAUCUUAAGACUUUCUCACAAUUUCUCACUGAUUUCUGCUCUUGGCUUAACAUGUUACGCCCCUAGAAAGUGCACUCUUCUAUUGUCAUGAUACCGUCAUAUAAUUCACAAAGGUGUCAAUUUUUAAUUUUUAAAGUUUUUUAGAAAGUAAAAGUAACAGAAUAAACCAGUUACUCAGGAUUGAUUGAGAUACGUCGUCUUCUAUUGUCAUUCAAUCUGUCCUUGUUAAUAAACGUAUUCCUUCACUGGC
This is a long non-coding RNA of Poecile atricapillus (Black-capped chickadee), 1942 nucleotides long. RefSeq lists it as uncharacterized. NCBI's taxonomy places the organism in Eukaryota, Metazoa, Chordata, Aves, Passeriformes, Paridae. The record is from RefSeq and is a predicted model, not a curated record. The transcript has 2 exons.